Molecule: long non-coding RNA, 4216 nt
Filed under: Sorghum bicolor (sorghum)
Lineage: Eukaryota; Viridiplantae; Streptophyta; Magnoliopsida; Poales; Poaceae
Description: long non-coding RNA (SBIC_LNC004058)
Source: RNAcentral
CUCCUCUCGCCCAUGCAUCAAUAUCCCUCCCGUUCCUUCUCCUUAUCCACAUGGCCAAACCAAUCGAAGCAGCAGGAAAAAUACAUAUAUAUAUCUUUGUUUCUAAGCAACAACAUACACCAACGCCGCGAGAGAAUGAUCAUCAUCAUGCAUGCCAAGGUGGCGUCCCGUCCUUUUGUGCCCUUUUUCCAUGGGUUUGUUUCCUCAUAUUAUAUAUUUCUUCUGGCCUGUGUAUCUUUGCCACUGGAUAUGAAUGUGUCGUUUUCUAUAGUCUUUCAGGUCACAUAUAAACGGCGUUUUUGAGGUGCCUUAGAUCACACACUUUAAUUUGGCUACAAAUUAUCUUCUACGCUUUUUUAUAUAAAAAGAAGUUUGGAUGUGUUAGCGGUGCUGUGGUCUUUUAAUAUAUUUUCAGAAAAAAUAAUCCAAUAGAUAUAUUUUAAUAAACGAUAUUGGUCAAUGCUUAAAAUAAUUGACUUCAGAUUUUCACAUAACCCAAGACGUCUCUUGUUGUAACACUCUGGUGUUAAGUAAUCUAAAACGUGACAUGUCAUCAUUAUGCAUUAACCUAAAAAUAAGUUUAUUUUGGUUGAUUGUGCUUAGGGAAUUAAAGUGUGUCUAUUUUGUGUUUGGAUACUUGUUGGUGUUUAAAGUCCUUGGGUGAAAGUUUUCCGAGAGCUAAAAGGGGGGGGGGGGGGAACCCCUAAUUUUAAAACCUUGGAUCUGCCCCCUUUUGUGCAAUUCAAAAACUAAGCAAAAUUUGAAGUUGAGUUCAAAAGCAAAGUUGUAGGUCUUGUCAAGAGGUACAACUUUGGUGUUUUGAGUUUUUGGAGUUUCAAUACAAAAUUCAAAGUAAUUUUGAAAAUGCAAAUUUCCGAAAAGUGUUCCCUUUUCUAAUUUAAAUCUCCAAUUCAAAAUCUAUUUGGAAUUUUAAAAAAUGGUCAACAUGAAAGUUAUAGGGCUUGAAAAAUUGAACAACUUUCAUGUCGGGAGUUUUUCAAGUUGUUUUGGAAAAUCAAAAGUAAUUUUGGAAUUUCUAAUCUGCCCCAAUUCAAAAUUAGAAUUUUUCCCAACUUGAGAUUUGGAUUUCAAACUGUUUGGCUCAAAUUCAUCCCUUUCCAUUUGAAAUCAGCCUUGGACCCUUAAAGAUGUUUUGUAGUAUUCAAAAUUCUAAACAAGUUUUAUUUUGGCAGAAAUUUGACUUCUGUUCAAAUUUUUGUUGUUUUUCGCAAAAAGGCAGAAGGGGCUUUUGGGGAAGGGGGGGGAUAAGUUCUAGCCCCUGUUCACGGCGGUGGACCGCCGAGCUUGGGCCGGCGUUUGCCAGCGCGUGAGCGCCGUGUCACCUCGUCCCAACAUGCAUCCGUCUCCGUGGCAUCGAGUAGCAGCUGCUGGCGCCUCUGCUUGCUUCGUGGCGUUCCAUCCUGAGCUUGCCGACCUUGUCUUGCCACCGGAGCACCGACGGGCAGCGGCUCGUUCAACUCCAAAUUCACCGCAGCGGUUGAUCCUCAUCCAAAUUCACCGAGGCCAUAAAGUGGUUACCUCCUUGUGCACCUUCCGAACCUAUCCUUUCUGUCUCUUUCGCACCAGGGCCCCGGAGUUCGUCGUCUUUCUCUCCGCCGGCGACAGAGCGCCGCCGUGGGCACUUCAUCGUGGCCUGGCCAUCCCGUAAGGCUUUGAGUCGAGGUGAGGGGCGUUGGAGCUUCACCUUGAUGUCCUACAACUCAUGCUCUCUCUCUUUUCCUUUGGGCGCGAGCAGGAUCACCGGAACGACGCCGUUGAGCUCGGAGCGUCCGCCCGACGGCACCGCCUCCGUUGCCCAAAGCUUCGGCUAACUCCCCGGGUCCCGCAAUGUGAGCACCGUGCUCCUCCAUCCACCCCGAACCUCCCUGUCUCUUUCGUUUGCUCUCUACCGGGCCCUAGUGGCCGGCCGACAGUCGGCCAUGGCGGCCGCCCGCUCUUCUCGUGACCGAGGUGGUAGAGAUAGGGUAGAGUGCGGUUAGAAGGUGCCAACGGGGCCGCUAACUCGAGGCGAAGCUGAUGCGCGCACGUGCGGGGGCCGAAGGCCUCGCUACCGGCCGUUGGAGCGGCGGCAGUGUUGCCGUGCGCGUUGAAGACGAAACUGACGGGUGGGGUAUCCCCGUCAGUGUCUUGCAGAGAGAGGGGAGGGGGCAGGUGCAGCGCGCGGGCCGUCUUGGGCCGGUCCAAGCAGGCCGUCGGUGCAGCACAGUGCAUUUUCUUUUUUCCUUUUUGGUUAAAAAAAUACUUGAUGUUUGAAAUUGUGUAAUAAAUUGUGUAGUGAUUCAAAAUUAGUGAAAAUUUUUGUGUAGGUUCCAGAGAAUAUAAGAAGUGUAGGAAAAAUGUUAGACUUUAUUUUCUGAUAAUUUGUAUGUACAUAUAAAUUGCCUCUGUUUAUUACUAAAUAAAUCUUCCAUGAAUUUUAAUAAUUUAUGGGUAUAUCCAAAAAUCAUGAAAUUUAAUAUGUGAACUUGUGUUACUGUUAUCUAGCUUCAGGAUUAUUUUCAGCUCUUUUUGAUAAAGUAUGCUCUGUUUCUUAAUAAAGCUAUUUAAAAUAAGUAUAAAAGAAAUAGAAAUAAUUAAUCCUUUUAGGAUUUGAGUGGUAUUUUGGAUUGAUUGACAACCAGUGGUCACUUAGCAUGAUAUGCUCCCUGGUUAUGAUUUAUUUUAUAUAAAUGAUCUUUGUUGUUUGAUAGAUACCCAAUAUUGCUUGAUAAAAAUGAUAAAGUUUGUUUAGUAGUAAUCUAUGCUUUGAUAGCUAGCUUGGUUUGUUUCUUUACCAUGAAGGUACGUUGUACUCGAGGUAGUCAUGUUUGUUGUUAUCAUCCAAGAACAUGUAACCUGUCUUUAUCAUGCCAUGAGUAUAUCAUAAUCAUGCAUAUGCACUUUUACGUAUAGAAUACGCUCCGGAAGAAUCUGAUCCUCAGUGGGUUGCUUCCGAGUUUGUGGAUCUUUCGGGCUUUGCUGAGUUGCCAAACUUCCCUUCCGGUCAAGGCAAGCCCCAGACAUUAAACCCUAUCCUUGUAUUUUCAUAAAGUCAUUUAUAUCACUUGAGUUAAUAUGAUGCAUUAGGUGAAUAGGAGUUGGGUGAAUCCUAUUUGCUGCAUUAUCUACCUUGAUGAUUUCAAUAUUAACCUUAAUACUUGUUUUAUGAAAAUACUUAGUAUGCUUAGCCCUGUUUAUUAGAUAGGUUUUCAAACGAGAAAGUUUGAAGGGUUGUUGUGGAAUACUUCUAAGGUCAAUAAUGUUUCAAAUUGAGACCGGUCGGUGGACUUGCUUUAAGAAUGGAGUCUUAAAGUAGUGUCUCCAACUGUGUCGAUUAAGGACCGUACCGUUGUUGGCCUGUUGUGAUUGAGAUCUUUGAGUACAGCCCACAUGCGGUGGUAAGCCUUACCUAUAGCUAUUCCGAUACUUGAGAACGGCUAACCGCGUACUAGGAGUGGAGAGAUGGCGAGAGUAGCGUGUACCCACCUUACGGAUCUGAGAUGACCGGGAAACAUCUAGAUUGGCUGUAGGAUGGUGGUGUACUGUACUCUCGGGUGACGCUGGACCCGUUCUUGUAUGGGAGGAUCUAUAGAAAAGGUUGACAUAUGCAAGAUUAAGUUCUACAUAUGUCGUGUGGUACUGAAUCCCCAGCUGGGUUUAAUCGAUUCGAAUCGCCGUGUUUCCUCGGAUAUGGAGCCUCAAUCCUCACCCCAUCAUCGUAGUAAUAAGUGAAUCUUUGGUAUAAGAAAGAUAUGGUUUGCUUAUGAAAGUUUGAUAAUAAUUUGGUUAGUCAUAAAUGAUAACCUUGAGUUAAAUCUUGAAAGUAGGUUUUACUCUUAGUAAGCUUUUAUGCGAAAGAAAUGCUUUGAUCUUGCUAAAGCUUUACCUUGAAUCCCUAUAGCCUGCAUACCUGAGUCUUCACCUCUUUUAUAGUCGGUUAAGUCUUGUUGAGUACUUUUGUACUCAGGGUUUAUUAACCCAUGUUGCAGGUGAACCUUUUGAUCAACCUUUUGAGGGUCGUUGUUUCUUCACUCUUGUGGAGGAGAGUGAUGAUGAUGAAUCUGAUGUGUGACCUUGGGCAAGUAAAACUUGUUGUGUGAUCUAUGGUUUAUGUAAUAUAAAGUUCCGAACCUUUUAUGUACUAAAUACUUAUGGUUUGUAACCGUUGAACUUAAGUUUCAAUCAAUGUUAUGUAACCUUUCCGCUUUUACUCUGA